RNAcentral lists this ribosomal RNA (410 nucleotides) under uncultured bacterium. RNAcentral's name for it is "bacterial SSU rRNA". It matches the Rfam family "Bacterial small subunit ribosomal RNA", at positions 355 to 775 of the family's 1533-position model. The record is from RNAcentral.
UCGAGGAUCUUCGGCAAUGGGCGCAAGCCUGACCGAGCGACGCCGCGUGUGCGACGAAGGCCUUCGGGUUGUAAAGCACUGUCGAGGGGGAGGAAGCCGAAAGGUUGACCUAUCCCUGGAGGAAGCACGGGCUAAGUUCGUGCCAGCAGCCGCGGUAAGACGAACCGUGCGAACGUUGUUCGGAAUCACUGGGCUUAAAGGGCGCGUAGGCGGGCCGAAAAGUCAGGGGUGAAAUCCUCCAGCUUAACUGGAGAACAGCCUUUGAUACUGGCGGCCUCGAGGAAGGUAGGGGCAUGCGGAACUGAUGGUGGAGCGGUGAAAUGUGUUGAUAUCAUCAGGAACUCCGGUGGCGAAAGCGGCGUGCUGGACCUUUUCUGACGCUGAGGCGCGAAAGCCAGGGGAGCAAACGG